Molecule: long non-coding RNA, 5536 nt
Organism: Dermochelys coriacea (leatherback sea turtle)
Lineage: Eukaryota; Metazoa; Chordata; Testudines; Dermochelyidae
Exons: 4
Source: RefSeq, a predicted model, not a curated record
CAGGUUUUUUGGUAACCCGGUAGUAACCCUGCCUGAGCACUAUGUGCCAGUUCACAAGGCCACUCACUCAAGUUUGUUCAACUCCCACAUCAUGACAGAGAGGUUAUACCUGAAUGGACAGCGGGUUGGCCAGCACUGCUGCUCCUCACCGCUGCCACAGGGCUGGCUCCUACGCCAGGUUGGCUCCUGCUCCUGUCCGGUCUCACCCCAUUUCCAGCAGCCCAUGUCCCCUCUGCUUUGCCUGCAGGACUCACGCAGCAACAGCCUCAAGACCUGCAAGAAGUAUGGGGAGCUAUGGUGGAAGUUUUGUCGGUGAAGAAACUUUGGGCUGGAAUCCCUGCUUACCACAUGAAAAAUUUCUGGGGGCACCCCCCGUUGUACAUUUUACUUUGCUCUUUGAUGCCGAUUCCUGAGCUGCUCCAUAUUUGAGUCUGCUGAUGUCAGCAGCCUGUUAACUAGCAAACUGGUCUGAGAGGACAGGAUCAGCUGCAGUACCUACAGUUUCCUGGAUCUGCCCUCUGAUCGUGGAGUGCGUGCAUCUCCUGGUUUGAUGGAGACUAGAACAUUCACUCAUCUCUCAAGAGAGGUUUCCACCACUGAAAUCAAGGGAGGCAUGUUACACAUGUGUAUUACGAAUGUAUGUAUUUGUGCAUAUGAUUUUCAAAUUUUGUGUCUGUCACAUGAGACCUGAUCAUCUGUCUUGCCUAGAGUGGAUGACUAACAGGCUUGAUUCCUCUACAAGAUUAAAAAACCCUACCUCAUGCUGAAACAUCCUGCCACCUGCCAUAAUCAGCGCAGGAUUUUUGAAUAAUAAAUAAGAACAGUACAUUCCUCAGAAUUCCUGCUGAACUAUUUCUAUUCAGGUCCUAGUAUUACAGCUCCAGAAGAUUAGUGUUGAGCAUACCUUCCACAUGCUCAACAUCCAAACCACACUGAAGUCAAUGGGAAACUUUCGAUUGACUUCAGUGGAGAGCGGAUCAAGUCCAUUAGGAGAAGUCCCAGUACUCAGAUGGGCCAAUCCUAACAAAAAGAGGCCAUAUAGAUUAAGGAAUCUUAAAUCCAGUUGCUUAUUCACUGCACCCAAACAUCAUUUAUACACAAGAACAAAACAAAUGCAAGAAGCCCCUGGGAACUCAAACCAAUGUUGAUGGACACUAGUUCUGUGAUCAACGGGCAUCAGACCACACCAGCUCUCACUGCUGAUGAGGCUCCAGAUCAAGACUGGAUCACCGAGAAUUCUGCAAACCUUGUGUUGGCCUACGUUGUCUCUCCCUGCCCUCUUGCCCAAGGCUACUCAGCACACCGCAAGGCAGGUGUGGACCGGAGCAUUCAUAUUGUCAUUCCAACUCAGUGUGGAAGUGGCACCCCAGGAAAUAACAAAUCCUUCAAACUACACCAUUUUACACAUGAAACCAGAGCCAGAGCUAAAGCCAAUGUGGGCUUUCUAUUCAACUAUAGAGGCAGAAGACGGCAGUUUCACAAAGGAGCUGUUUGAGAUGCUAUCAGCAAUAGCGGUGAGAUUCCUAAGAUUCCUCUUUCCAGCCAUGUUGACAAGCCUCGGAUGUAAAACGCCCGAACACAUUUCCUCUUUCUCCAUGUUAGGACUCUUUCGUGUUAUCUCUGGUCCAACCCACAUAGCCAGCCACAUCUUCAGCCUGCUCUUCACACUAAAUGCCAGCAGAGAGAACAUCACACAGUAUGGCCCUAUCUUAGACAACCUCCUCGUUCUGUCAGCAGUCUAAGCUUUCCCCCCAUUCAGGCAACAGGAAGGCUCAUGGACCUCAUUAUGCUUCAGGACAGCAACAGCCUCCCAACAGGCUGAGGAGUUGAAUUGCUAAUAGGUCAUUUUGUCCACAUGCACUAGUUACUACCACUGAUACCCUAGAUCUCAGACAGCCCCCUCCUCGCUAUUGCCCACACAAAUCCCAAUGGUCCUUCCUUGAAGAGAGAAGGAAACUUGAGUGCCAAUGACAAAAAACUUGGGUUGAAGCAUACAGGUUAAAACAGGAAGAAUUUCUACAGGCCUCUGCUGAGGCUGUAGGAUACUUUAAUCAUGGCAGAAUCCAGCGUCACUUGAUAUGAGGAGAUUUAUGCCUUCUUCAGGUGGAAGAGGCCACCCAUAUACAGGAAAGGGGCUCCAGAUAAUCUCUUCAAGGCUGGAGGCAGGAAAGGGGCAUGAUACAUCCUGCUCCCACCUACCAUUUCCCUCCCUACCGAGGCCCAGCUACUCUCUGACCCAGGCCACCUACAGCUACUAUACAGAACCCAGUCCUACAGACCAUGGAAUCACAAGAAGGGAUGACUCCUCACUUCUGCAUGGAUCCUGGAGCAUGAUCUGGCUCUUGAUCCUAUGAUACUUACUCAGGCAAUUGAGAGUCAAUGGAAGCUUUGCCUAAUUAAGGUGUGAAGUAGGGCCAAACCUCUCAUAACCUUUUGUUUUGGUUUGCUUUUUUAAAGACCCUGUUUUGUGUUGCAAGGGUACCUGACCUUAACAUUUACAACAAGGAGGCAAGAGAAAUGAAGUGUGAAAAGAGAAAUCUCUGCCAAACUUCUGCAGAUUGUGAAGUAAUAUCACUGCUGACAGGGAGGGAAAAAAUCUAUCAAGAAGCCAUGCAGACAUUCACCAGAAGACCAUCCAUUGCCAGAUGUUCCAGCGCGGGUGUAAAAGAACUGUAACAUUAGCAUGAGUACAGAAGAGUGACUAGAAAAAAUUAAGCACAGUCAAGAAUGUCUUCUCUGGAAUAUACUUGCAACUAUUACAGAAUAAGAUCAGAACCAAAGGCUCUCUACAAGCUUCUGCAAAAAGUUUGCUUGGAAACAACAAACUAAAGAGCUCUGGUGGGCUACACUCACUCUGGGAGCGCCCCCUUGCAUCCCUGUGUGAUGUCACUGGUAUCUUCUACUCGAGCACUUCCUGCAGGCCACUUCCUUUUGGUUCCAGGUCUUCUGUGGCUCAGUCCUCCAGCCAAGUUGUGUGAAGUUCAAAGCCCUUUUGAAGUAACUACAAACCCCUAGUCCCUCUUGGGCUCCACCAAAGUUCUCUGUUCAUUGGCCUCUUCUCCUGGUGCCUGCAGAGCUCUUCUCACCUUAAUACCUCUCUAGCAGGCUUCCGCUACUGCCGCCCUUCCCCAGGGAUUCUGACAGCUUUCCUUAGGUAUCUUCCUGCUGCAAAACUUCUCUUAUAACUACUAGAUCUUCUGCCACUGCUAGGCUUUUCUUCUAUUCCCUUAUCCGCAUAGGUCCUAUCUCAGAGCUCCCGCACAGGAUUGUACUCUGCUUUCUAUGGGCACAUCUACAUUGCAAUUAAAAACCUGCUGCUGGCCCAUGCCAGCUGACUCCGGCUCAUGGGGCUCAGCCUAAGGGCCUGUUUAAUUGUGGAGUAGACAUUCAGGCUCAUGCUGCAGCCUAGGUCUAGAACCCUGCAAGGUGGGAGUCCCAGAGUUUAAGCUGCAACCUGAGUAUCUACACCUCAGUUAAACAGCCCUUUAGCCCGAGCCCAAGUCUGCCAGCAAUGGGUGUCUACUUUCAGUAUAGACACACUCUAUGAGACUCUCAGCCUGCCUUCCUCAGGCUCUUCCCAGAGGAGAAUUCCCCUCAUUCCUCCCUCUAGUGAGUUCCUAGCUCUGUGUAAGUAGGGGUCAGUUUCUAAUACACCCAGCUGGGAUCACUAAUUAGUCCAUAUGUACGCAGCUCCAAGGGCAGCACCUUCUGCCUGAAGCCCCGCCUCUUCCACCUCUCCCCAGAUCCCAGAGCCCCCCAACCGUGGCCACCAGCCCCCACCCCAGGCUAGCCCCCCCACAACCUCAGAGUGCAGGGAGUGAGGGCAGCACUGGUGCUGCCCCAGCCCCUGGAACUGGGCAGAAGAGCAGAAGCAGGGGUCUGCUAACUCAUGGGCAAGGUUGAGCCCAGCUUGCAUCAAAGGGCCAGCCAGCCCAUGACAGGAGCCUUGUGCUGAAUUCUGCUUUAUGCAGCAGGUCUCGCUGGCAGAGCCGUGCUGUGUUAGACACAAGGGAACCACACAUCCCAUUAACUUUAUUCUUCUAUUAUUUAUAGCUAAAGCUAAGAUUUAGUCAUGGGUAUUUUUAGUAAAAGUCAUGGACAGGUCAUGGGCAAUAAACAAAAAUUCAUGGCCCCGUGACCUGUUCAUGACUUGUACUAUAUAGUCCUGACUAAAUCUUGGGUGUUCUGGGGGGCUCCAGGAGAGCAAGUGCUGCUCUGGAGAAGGAGCUCUGGGGCGCCCGCUGGCCCUGUGGGGGACUCCGGGACACCUGCUGGUACUGGGGGGAGGUCUCCGGGGCACCCGCUGGUGCUGGGGGGAGGAGCUCCAGAGCACCUACUGGUGCUCGGGGGGGGAGGGGCGCGCAGCUCGGCACCGCUGCAGCCACUGCUGGCAGCCCAAGACCACCGCCGGCACUGCUGCUGGUGGGAGGUGGUCCCGCCAGCCUGGGACUGCCACCACUGCUGGGGUGGGGGUGGGGGUGUUGUGGCUGGCCCCAGGGCUGCCCAAGCUACUCGGGCAGCCCUGAGGUCGGUAGCACCUGCCGGCUGCAGAAGUCACGGAGUUCCCAGAAAGUCAAGGAAUCUGUGACCUCCGUGACAGACUCAGCCUUAUUUAUAGCAUUACUUUAUUAGUUCAUUUGUUCAUUCUCCUCACAUUUAAAGGAGGGUACUCCCUUGAGUUUUGUAUCAGGCUAGUGGUCAUUUAUGACCUAUGUGCCUUUUUCACUGAUAAGUGAUAAAUAUGUGUUUGUAAAUCUCUUACCUAAUGCCAGUGAAUAUUAAUCUUCCUAGCCCUAAAAUAAAGCCAAGAGAUUGAAAUUAGGAAGAAAAAUCCUUUUUAAUCAAAAUACAUUGACCAGUUUAAUAAAGAUUACAGAGGGGUUGAAGCUACAAAUGUUCAGAUCAGGGUCCAAAUUUCCUCCAAGUUUUGUAAGAGGGCAGGAUUUGGAUUCAGGGACUGAUUCAGUUUCCUCAGUGAUGAUAAUAAUAAUUACAGUGGCUUGCUUCAUCCAUCUCUCUCCCUUCCUUGUCUCCCCCGGCCCUCCAACUUCCCAUGCAGGAGAGGAAGACCAGCUGCCUCCAGUGCACUGUCUGCCUUUUCCCAUCACAAAGGGCUCUCUGUGAGCCUGGUGUCCACACAGGUGGAAAAAGCUGAGAUUGGGUAGGCUAGGCCAGUGGCUCUCAAUCUUUCCAGACUACUGUACCCCUUUCAGGAGUCUGAAUCGUCUUGCAUACCCCCAAGUUUCACCUCACUUAAAAACUACUUGCUUACCAAAUCAGACACAAAAAUAAAGAAGAGUCACAGCACACUAGUACUGACAAAUUGCUUAAUUUCUCAUUUUUAAACCAUAUAAUUAUAAAAUAAUUCAAUUGGAAUAUAAAAUAUCCUACUUACAUUUGAGUGUAUCUUAUAUAGAGCAGUAUAAACAAGUCAUUGUCUGUAUGUAAUUUUAGUUUGUACUGAUGUCGCUAGUGCUUUUUAUGUAGCUUGUUGUAAAACUAGGCCAAUAUCUAGCUGAGUUGAUGUACCCCCUGG